RNAcentral lists this ribosomal RNA (424 nucleotides) under uncultured archaeon. RNAcentral describes it as "partial 16S ribosomal RNA". It matches the Rfam family "Archaeal small subunit ribosomal RNA", at positions 323 to 746 of the family's 1478-position model. The record is from RNAcentral.
CUACGGGCUGCUCCAGUCGGGGAAAUUUUGCAAUGCACGAAAGUGUGACAAAGCAAGCCACAGUGCUGUUCUAUAUUUGAACAGCUUUUGUGAGAUGUAAAAAGCCUCACGAAUAAGGACCGGGCAAGACUGGUGCCAGCCGCCGCGGUAAUACCAGCGGUCCAAGUCGCAGCCACAUUUGUUGGGGCUAAAACAUCCGUAGCUUGUUUCGUAAGUCUUUGGUGAAAUCUGGCCUCUUAAGGGUCGGGCGUGCCUAAGAUACUGCGUUGCUAGAGACCGGUAGGCGUAAUGAGUACGAUAAGGGUAGCGGUUAAAUGCGUUGACCCAUAUUGGACUAACAGUCGCGAAGGCGCGUUACGAGAACGGUUCUGACAGUGAGGGAUGAAGGCUAGGGGCGCAAAGUGGAUUAGAUACCCCCGUAGUC